UGCCAGCAGCCGCGGUAACACGUAGGGCGCAAGCGUUGUCCGGAAUUAUUGGGCGUAAAGAGCUCGUAGGCGGUCUGUUGCGUCCGCUGUGAAAUCUCGGGGCUUAACCCCGAGCCUGCAGUGGAUACGGGCAGACUAGAGGUAGGUAGGGGAGAAUGGAAUUCCCGGUGUAGCGGUGAAAUGCGCAGAUAUCGGGAGGAACACCGGUGGCGAAGGCGGUUCUCUGGGCCUUACCUGACGCUGAGGAGCGAAAGCGUGGGGAGCGAACAGGAUUAGAUACCCUGGUAGUCCACGCCGUAAACGUUGGGCGCUAGGUGUGGGAUCCUUCCACGGAUUCCGUGCCGCAGCUAACGCAUUAAGCGCCCCGCCUGGGGAGUACGGCCGCAAGGCUAAAACUCAAAGGAAUUGACGGGGGCCCGCACAAGA
Molecule: ribosomal RNA, 426 nt
Filed under: uncultured bacterium
Lineage: Bacteria
Description: bacterial SSU rRNA
Rfam family: Bacterial small subunit ribosomal RNA
Source: RNAcentral